This 1635-nucleotide ribosomal RNA is filed under the name Loxomorpha cf. harmothoe. Its description in RNAcentral is "bacterial SSU rRNA". It matches the Rfam family "Eukaryotic small subunit ribosomal RNA". Lineage: Eukaryota; Apicomplexa; Conoidasida; Eugregarinorida; Lecudinidae. The record is from RNAcentral.
UUGUCCGGUGGCCGUACCACAUUUCCGUUCCCGGUACCGGUGUUAACGCUGAGUUGGCUGACGGGCUCACGGGGUCGUUACGAGCACAGAGUAGGACAUCAACGGCCUGAUCAACCAGGUAGCGCAAAUGUGGGGCUAAUACAUGGAGUUUCGAUAUCCGAUAACCAUUUGAUUAGUAUGAUUUUACAUGUUUCACUUUUAGUGAUAUGAGGAAUAUAAUAUUAAACAUCGCAAAUAGCGAGUGACUGGUUAACUUUCUCACCUAUCAGUUAUUGAUGGUACGGUAGUUGCUUACCAUGACUUUGACAGGUAACGGGGAAUUAGGGUUUGGUUCCGGAGAGGGAGUUUGAGAUUUGGCUACCACAUCUAAGGAAGGCAGCAGGCGCGUAAAUUGCUCAAUUUUGAAUUAAAGAGGUAGUAAACAAACAUAUUAGCAUACGAUUUUCAAAUCGAGUGACUGGCAUGACAGGAAUUUAGAUAUUUCUCUGGAGAAACAAUUAGAGGGCAAGUCUGGUGCCAGCAGCCGCGGUAAUUCCAGCUCUAAUAGCAUAUAUUAAAUUUGUUGCGGUUGAAACGCUCGUAGUUUUAUUUCCUUCUAAAAGAAACCUUUGGUUUGGAAACUUGAUGUUUGCACACGUUUUAGACGAUUGUGUAAAUUUGCCCCUUUGAAGCAAUGAUAACGGUCGACCUUUAUGUUUCAAAGCAUGGAACGGACGUGUACGUACAUGAUAUUUGUAUUCAUUGUUUUGCAUGUCAGUGAAAUAACAGUAAUGAAACAUUGGAAGUACUUAUAUUCAGCUGUCAGAGGUGAAAUUCUUGGACCAGCUGAGGAUAAUCAGAGGCUAAUGCAUUUACUGAAAGUUUAUUAGUUUAUCAAGAACGUAAGUUGAGGGUUCGAAGAUGAUUAGAUACCGUUGUAGUCUCAAUUGUGAAAUAUAUCUUUAGGAGCUAGGAAAUAAACUUUAAAUUGUAUUCUGUACCCUUCGAGAAAUCGUAGAAGAUUCUGGGGGGAGUAUUGUCGCAAGGUAGAAACUUAAAGGAAUUGACGGAAGAGCACCACCAGGAGUGGAGCUUGCGGUUUAAUUUGACUCAACACGGGAAAACUUACUGUGUCCGGACAUAAGAAUGAUUGACAGGUUAAGAGUUCUUUCUUGAUUUUAUGGGUGGUGGUGCAUGGCCGUUCUUAGUUGGUGGAGUGAUUUGUCAGGUUAAUUCCGUUAACGAACGAGACUUCAUCCUGCUUAUUGUGAUUUAUUCACUCAAAGUGGUUCUUUGCACGUUUAGUGCAAGGAAGCGUGAAGCAAUAACAGGUCUGUGAUGCCCUUAGAUGUCUCGGGCCACACGCGCGCUACAGUGAUCCAAUCCAUUGGACAACUGGCUUUGAAGUUAGUUCAACCUAUGAGAAUGGAGUUUGUAUGGGAUUGAUGUUUGUAAUUUUUCAUCUUGAACGAGGAAUUCCUAGUAAGCAUAAGUCAUUAACUUUUCUUGACUAUGUCCCUGCCCUUUGUACACACCGCCCGUCGCUGCAAUUGAUUGAACGCUACGGUGAACAUUAUAUCUUUUUGGGUUUCUACUUAGCAAGGUUUAAUGUGAAACGAUAUCGNUUAGAAGAGGVGAAGGGACCAGUVCAACUUC